GUGAGGAAUUUUCCGCAAUGGGCGAAAGCCUGACGGAGCAAUGCCGCGUGAAGGAUGAAGGCCUAUGGGUUGUAAACUUCUUUUCUCAGAAAAGAAUUAUGACGGUAUCUGAGGAAUAAGCAUCGGCUAACUCUGUGCCAGCAGCCGCGGUAAGACAGAGGAUGCAAGCGUUAUCCGGAAUGAUUGGGCGUAAAGCGUCUGUAGGUUGUUUAAAAAGUAUUCUGUCAAAGAUUAGGGCUUAACCCUAGAUAGGCAGAAUAAACUUUUAAGCUAGAGUUUGGUAGAGGCAGAGGGAAUACCCGGUGGAGCAGUGAAAUGCGUAGAUAUCGUGAGGAACACCAAAGGCGAAGGCACUCUGCUGGGCCAAUACUAACACUGAGAGACGAAAGCGAGGGGAGCAAAUGGGAUUAGAAACCCGUGUAGUCC
Molecule: ribosomal RNA, 426 nt
Filed under: uncultured bacterium
Lineage: Bacteria
Description: partial 16S ribosomal RNA
Rfam family: Bacterial small subunit ribosomal RNA
Source: RNAcentral